This 253-nucleotide ribosomal RNA is filed under the name uncultured bacterium. RNAcentral's name for it is "partial 16S ribosomal RNA". It matches the Rfam family "Bacterial small subunit ribosomal RNA", at positions 524 to 776 of the family's 1533-position model. The record is from RNAcentral.
GACAGAGGUUGCAAACGUUGUUCGGAAUUAUUGGGCGUAAAGCGCGUGUAGGCGGCUUUGCAAGUCGGGUGUGAAAGUCCUCGGCUCAACCGAGGAAGUGCGCCCGAAACUGCAGAGCUUGAGUACCGGAGAGGAUGGCGGAAUUCCCCAAGUAGAGGUGAAAUUCGUAGAUAUGGGGAGGAACACCGGUGGCGAAGGCGGCCAUCUGGACGGAUACUGACGCUGAGACGCGAAAGCGUGGGGAGCAAACAGG